This 200-nucleotide long non-coding RNA is filed under the name Elaeis guineensis (African oil palm). RNAcentral describes it as "long non-coding RNA (EGUI_LNC022660)". The record is from RNAcentral. Lineage: Eukaryota; Viridiplantae; Streptophyta; Magnoliopsida; Arecales; Arecaceae.
GCUAUCCCUAAGGAAAGGUGGAGGUGGAGGAGGAGAGGAUGGGAAAGGAGAGAUGGGUGGCUUAGAGGAGGAGGAGAAGUGAGAGAGGAGGAAGGGAAUGAGUGGAAAGGAGAGUUCACUAACAAAGUGGGUGGAGGUAGAGAGAACCACCAUGGAGGGAGAGAGCUCAUAGAUAGGCUUGAAGGAUGAGGAGGAGGAGG